CCUUCGGGGGGCAGCAGUGAGGAAUAUUGGUCAAUGGGCGAGAGCCUGAACCAGCCAAGUCGCGUGAAGGAUGAAGGAUCUAUGGUUUGUAAACUUCUUCUAUAUGGGAAUAAAGUGAGGAACGUGUUCCUUAUUGUAUGUACCAUAUGAAUAAGCAUCGACUAACUCCGUGCCAGCAGCCGCGGUAAUACGGAGGAUGCGAGCGUUAUCCGGAUUUAUUGGGUUUAAAGGGUGCGUAGGUGGUGAAGUAAGUCAGCGGUGAAAGUUUGUGGCUCAACCAUAAAAUUGCCGUUGAAACUGGUUGACUUGAGUAUAGGUGAGGUAGGCGGAAUGCGUGGUGUAGCGGUGAAAUGCAUAGAUAUCACGCAGAACACCGAUUGCGAAGGCAGCUUACUAAACUAUAACUGACACUGAGGCACGAAAGCGUGGGGAGCAAACAGGAUUAGAUACCCUUGUAGUC
RNAcentral lists this ribosomal RNA (460 nucleotides) under uncultured bacterium. Its description in RNAcentral is "partial 16S ribosomal RNA". It matches the Rfam family "Bacterial small subunit ribosomal RNA", at positions 338 to 795 of the family's 1533-position model. The record is from RNAcentral.